Molecule: non-coding RNA, 45 nt
Filed under: Schistosoma mansoni
Lineage: Eukaryota; Metazoa; Platyhelminthes; Trematoda; Strigeidida; Schistosomatidae
Source: RNAcentral
AUCCAGCUGACGAGUCCCAGAUAGGACGAAAUGAGCGUUUUGGGU